UACGAAGGGUGUAAGCAUUGUUCGGAUUUAUUGGGCGUAAAGCGCGCGCAGAUAGGUUUUUAAGUCAGAUGUGAAAUCUCAAAACUCAACCCCAAACGUGCGUCUGAAACUGGGAAUCUAGAAUAUUACAGAAAAUAGAAGAAUUUCACAUAUAGGGGUAAAAUCCAUAGAGAUGUGAAGAAACACCAAAAGCGAAGGCAUCUACCUGGGUAAACAUUGACACUGAAGCGCGAAAGCGUGGGGAUCAAACAGG
This 253-nucleotide ribosomal RNA is filed under the name uncultured bacterium. RNAcentral's name for it is "partial 16S ribosomal RNA". It matches the Rfam family "Bacterial small subunit ribosomal RNA", at positions 524 to 776 of the family's 1533-position model. The record is from RNAcentral.